RNAcentral lists this ribosomal RNA (431 nucleotides) under uncultured Clostridium sp. RNAcentral describes it as "partial 16S ribosomal RNA". It matches the Rfam family "Bacterial small subunit ribosomal RNA", at positions 341 to 786 of the family's 1533-position model. The record is from RNAcentral. Lineage: Bacteria; Bacillati; Bacillota; Clostridia; Eubacteriales; Clostridiaceae.
ACGGGAGGCAGCAGUGGGGAAUAUUGGGCAAUGGACGAAAGUCUGACCCAGCGACGCCGCGUGAGGGAAGAAGGUCUUCGGAUUGUAAACCUCUUUCAGCAGGGAAGAAGGAAGUGACGGUACCUGCAGAAGAAGUCACGGCUAACUACGUGCCAGCAGCCGCGGUAAUACGUAGGUGGCGAGCGUUAUCCGGAAUUACUGGGUGUAAAGGGUGUGUAGGCGGGGAAGCAAGUCAGAUGUGAAAAUUAUGGGCUGAACUCAUAAACUGCAUUUGAAACUGUGAGUCUUGAGAGUGGGAGAGGUAAACGGAAUUCCCGGUGUAGCAGUGAAAUGCGUAGAUAUCGGGAGGAACAUCGGUGGCGAAGGCGGUUUACUGGACCAUUACUGACGCUGAGACACGAAAGCGUGGGGAGCAAACAGGAUUAGAUACC